CCUCAUCCAUCAAAAAAGUAAAUAUUGGACCCAUUUGUCACAAGCCACAUAAUCUCCAGAACAUUCUGACUCUUAAAUGGCAUUUUUCAGACGGACACAUCAGGAGAAAGUUAACUUUCUUCCAGACCUGUUUCUAUAU
Etheostoma cragini (Arkansas darter) is the source of this 139-nucleotide long non-coding RNA. RefSeq lists it as uncharacterized. NCBI's taxonomy places the organism in Eukaryota, Metazoa, Chordata, Actinopteri, Perciformes, Percidae. The record is from RefSeq and is a predicted model, not a curated record. The transcript is spliced from 3 exons.